AGCCAUGCGAGUCGUUGUAACAAUACAAGGCGGACGGCUCAGUAACACGUAGUCAACCUAACCUAUGGACGUGGAUAACCUCGGGAAACUGAGAAUAAACCGCGAUAGAUCAUUAUGCCUGGAAUGGCUUAUGGUUCAAACAAUUUAUUGCCGUAGGAUGGGACUGCGGCCUAUCAGCUUGUUGGUGAGGUAAUGGCCCACCAAGGCUAUUACAGGUCGGGCUCUGAGAGGAGAAGCCCGGAGAUGGGUACUGAGACACGGACCCAGGCCCUAUGGGCGCAGCAGGCGAGAAACCUUAGCAAUGUGCGAAAGCACGACUAGGUUAUCCGAGUGAUUUCUGUUGAAGAAAUCUUUUUGUCAGUCGAAAACCACAGACGAUAAGGGGUGGGCAAGUCUGGUGUCAGCCGCCGCCGGUAAUACCAGCACCUCAAGUGGUCAGGAGUUUAUUUGGGCCUAAACAUCGUAGCCGGUUUGCAAGUCUCCGGUUAAUCAGCUGCUCACGAAGGGCUGCCGAGAUCUACAAGCUAGGAGCGGAGAAGUAGACGGAUUCGUGGUAGGUAAAUCAAUGAUCAUCAGACCACGUGGCGAGGC
RNAcentral lists this ribosomal RNA (591 nucleotides) under uncultured archaeon. RNAcentral describes it as "bacterial SSU rRNA". It matches the Rfam family "Archaeal small subunit ribosomal RNA", at positions 47 to 673 of the family's 1478-position model. The record is from RNAcentral.